RNAcentral lists this ribosomal RNA (1263 nucleotides) under Staphylococcus aureus. RNAcentral's name for it is "partial 23S ribosomal RNA". It matches the Rfam family "Bacterial large subunit ribosomal RNA", at positions 1603 to 2869 of the family's 2925-position model. The record is from RNAcentral. Lineage: Bacteria; Bacillati; Bacillota; Bacilli; Caryophanales; Staphylococcaceae.
CACUGCCGAGAAAAGCCUCUAGAUAGAAAAUAGGUGCCCGUACCGCAAACCGACACAGGUAGUCAAGAUGAGAAUUCUAAGGUGAGCGAGCGAACUCUCGUUAAGGAACUCGGCAAAAUGACCCCGUAACUUCGGGAGAAGGGGUGCUCUUUAGGGUUAACGCCCAGAAGAGCCGCAGUGAAUAGGCCCAAGCGACUGUUUAUCAAAAACACAGGUCUCUGCUAAACCGUAAGGUGAUGUAUAGGGGCUGACGCCUGCCCGGUGCUGGAAGGUUAAGAGGAGUGGUUAGCUUCUGCGAAGCUACGAAUCGAAGCCCCAGUAAACGGCGGCCGUAACUAUAACGGUCCUAAGGUAGCGAAAUUCCUUGUCGGGUAAGUUCCGACCCGCACGAAAGGCGUAACGAUUUGGGCACUGUCUCAACGAGAGACUCGGUGAAAUCAUAGUACCUGUGAAGAUGCAGGUUACCCGCGACAGGACGGAAAGACCCCGUGGAGCUUUACUGUAGCCUGAUAUUGAAAUUCGGCACAGCUUGUACAGGAUAGGUAGGAGCCUUUGAAACGUGAGCGCUAGCUUACGUGGAGGCGCUGGUGGGAUACUACCCUAGCUGUGUUGGCUUUCUAACCCGCACCACUUAUCGUGGUGGGAGACAGUGUCAGGCGGGCAGUUUGACUGGGGCGGUCGCCUCCUAAAAGGUAACGGAGGCGCUCAAAGGUUCCCUCAGAAUGGUUGGAAAUCAUUCAUAGAGUGUAAAGGCAUAAGGGAGCUUGACUGCGAGACCUACAAGUCGAGCAGGGUCGAAAGACGGACUUAGUGAUCCGGUGGUUCCGCAUGGAAGGGCCAUCGCUCAACGGAUAAAAGCUACCCCGGGGAUAACAGGCUUAUCUCCCCCAAGAGUUCACAUCGACGGGGAGGUUUGGCACCUCGAUGUCGGCUCAUCGCAUCCUGGGGCUGUAGUCGGUCCCAAGGGUUGGGCUGUUCGCCCAUUAAAGCGGUACGCGAGCUGGGUUCAGAACGUCGUGAGACAGUUCGGUCCCUAUCCGUCGUGGGCGUAGGAAAUUUGAGAGGAGCUGUCCUUAGUACGAGAGGACCGGGAUGGACAUACCUCUGGUGUACCAGUUGUCGUGCCAACGGCAUAGCUGGGUAGCUAUGUGUGGACGGGAUAAGUGCUGAAAGCAUCUAAGCAUGAAGCCCCCCUCAAGAUGAGAUUUCCCAACUUCGGUUAUAAGAUCCCUCAAAGAUGAUGAGGUUAAUAGGUUCGAGGUG